CGGAUUACUUGGCCGCUUCCUACGAAGACUAGAGAGGGUCAAACAUAACUGAACGCAGUUGUGACAACCUGUUUUUCCUAGUGAGGUGGCGUAAAUAUACCCCAUCUCCUGUACCAGGACGAGGAAAGUGACCAUUGUCUAGAAAUGGAAGGCUGGCAUUAAGUUUAAUUCACAGGCCUCAGUACUGAAAUAAGUGGAUAGAGCAAAAGCUUAAGAAAACACCUUUUCAUCAUUGUCAUGGAUUCAUUAAGAAAGCCAUGACUGGAUUCAACCACUGGCUCACAUUUUCUGCUAUGAGGAAAGCAGUAAAGGUUUACUCCUUUGGAAUGGGCACCUAGCCUUGCUAGUAUAGAUAGUAGACAUCUCUUAUGUAUCUUCACUGGGAACCAAGUGACCUGAGCAGUUUUGAGGUUCUGGGUCAUUUGGAUAACUGAAAACUCCCACCUUCAGAGAGAGGGUAGGAGCAGAUUCGGUAACCCAUGGUAAUACUUGCUACUACAUAUUUGGACAAGAAUUCGGGAUAGUGAAAACCCCUUCAGCUUGUUUCUUGGUGUACUGAAAAUUUCCUCCAUCCCAAUAAAAGAGAAUCAGAAAGACAUCUGCCCCAGUAAGGGGAUCAUCCCUAAUUUUUUCAUACCUUAAAAUAGCUAGGGUUCAGUAUUCAGACCCUCAGUCUAUAGCUCUCUCCCUCUUGUGUCAAGAUACCUCCAAUCACCAUUAUGGUUAUUUAUUUUCUUCUGCCACCACUAGUCAUUGUAAUUUUUCCUAAUAGAUUGAUUUUCCUGUACUGACUACACUCCUGAUGCCUUCAAUUCAUUGUCACAAAUUACCUCAGACAGAGUGUUACCGAAUUGUGAUGAACAGAAUCAAUUUACAAAUAGACUUUUGCGUGAGUUGUGUGUCUUUAGAAUUCUAACUAACUGCAACCUGCGUUAGAUUAUUUAAAUUUUCAUGUUGGUUGUUUGUAGGAUAUUGGGAUCAUUGUUCCUUCCCACAAAAGUUUCUUUAAAGUCAGCUUGAAUGAACAGUAAUUGAGCACAAAAGCCUGACCUUGCCAACACUGCAUUGCAUGCUCAGUCAAAUUAGUUCAGACCAUUAUGGUUUAUAUUAACUAUAUUUGUCAUUUGUAAUUAACAUGGAUUAAGAUUUGGAGGAGAUUUCUGGUACUUGUUUUUGGUUGAUUAUGCUAGUGGGAAUUUCAGACCAUAUUAACAUUUUCUCUUGCUUCUUAAGUUUGUUUUGUGUUUUCUUAACAGAAUAAUUAUAUCUUUGAUCUGAUUUUGGAAUAGUCUGGCUAAUGUUUGCUUAGGAAGAAAAUAAAACCAUCCCUUACCCAAUUUUCUCAUUCUCCCUUUGACAAGUAUAUAAAAGGUUGAUCGGGAGAGAAGCAAACCAUACAUUUGAGUUUUGGCUCAUUGUAUAAGAUGAUGAUAAUGAUCCAAAUUUAGAAUGUCAUGAAAUCUCUUAAGGUUUUGUUUUAAAAUGCACUUACCAUGUCUUGGAUAUGAAACAGGUGGUUCUGCAGACAGGCCUGAGUUAUCGCCAAUGAACAGACUAUUGUGUGCAAAGUAGCUUUUCAUUAUCAUUGUUAACCCUCAUUAAAAUCACAAACCUUUAGCUUUUCACAGCUUUGUUUUCUUUUAAAGAGAUGAUGUUCAAGGUUUUUGAAAUGUCUACAUUUUCUUGAAAUGUUUUCAUUUAAAAUAAAACUUUUGUGGUUAUACACAUGCAUCAGUAUUAUGAGAGAGGAGGGUUUGAAGCUGAGCAGUAAUAUUAGUUUUAAUAUUUUAUUGUC
Molecule: long non-coding RNA, 1795 nt
Organism: Lynx canadensis (Canada lynx)
Lineage: Eukaryota; Metazoa; Chordata; Mammalia; Carnivora; Felidae
Exons: 3
Source: RefSeq, a predicted model, not a curated record